RNAcentral lists this ribosomal RNA (346 nucleotides) under uncultured bacterium. Its description in RNAcentral is "partial 16S ribosomal RNA". It matches the Rfam family "Bacterial small subunit ribosomal RNA", at positions 338 to 681 of the family's 1533-position model. The record is from RNAcentral.
CCUACGGGCGGCAGCAGUGAGGAAUAUUGGUCAAUGGACGAGAGUCUGAACCAGCCAAGUAGCGUGAAGGAUGACUGCCCUAUGGGUUGUAAACUUCUGUUAUAGGGGAAGAAAACAGGGGAUGCAGACCCUCUUGUAUGUACAAUAUGAAUAAGGAUCGGCUAACUCCGUGCCAGCAGCCGCGGUAAUACGGAGGAUCCGAGCGUUAUCCGGAUUUAUGGGGUUUAAAGGGAGCGUAGGUGGAUUGUUAAGGCAGUGGGGAAAGUUUGCGGCUCAACCGUAAAAUUGCAGUUGAAACUGGCAGUCUUGAGUACAGUCGAGGUGGGCGGACUUCGUGGUGUAGCGG